UACGGAGGGAGCUAGCGUUGUUCGGAAUUACUGGGCGUAAAGCGCACGUAGGCGGCUUUGUAAGUUAGAGGUGAAAGCCCGGAGCUCAACUCCGGAACUGCCUUUAAGACUGCAUCGCUUGAAUCCAGGAGAGGUGAGUGGAAUUCCGAGUGUAGAGGUGAAAUUCGUAGAUAUUCGGAGGAACACCAGUGGCGAAGGCGGCUCACUGGACUGGUAUUGACGCUGAGGUGCGAAAGCGUGGGGAGCAAACAGG
This 253-nucleotide ribosomal RNA is filed under the name uncultured bacterium. RNAcentral describes it as "partial 16S ribosomal RNA". It matches the Rfam family "Bacterial small subunit ribosomal RNA", at positions 524 to 776 of the family's 1533-position model. The record is from RNAcentral.